GUAGGUGGCAAGCGUUGUCCGGAAUUAUUGGGCGUAAAGCGCGCGCAGGCGGUCCUUUAAGGUCUGAUGUGAAAGCCCACGGGCUCAACCGUGGAGGGUCAUUGGAAACUGGGGGACUUGAGUACAGAAGAGGAAAGCGGAAUUCCAAGUGUAGCGGUGAAAUGCGUAGAGAUUUGGAGGAACACCAGUGGCGAAGGCGGCUUUCUGGUCUGUAACUGACGCUGAGGCGCGAAAGCGCGGGGAGCAAACAGGAUUAGAUACCCUGGUAGUCCACGCCGUAAACGAUGAGUGCUAAGUGUUAGGGGGUUUCCGCCCCUUAGUGCUGCAGCUAACGCAUUAAGCACUCCGCCUGGGGAGUACGGCCGCAAAGGCUGA
RNAcentral lists this ribosomal RNA (375 nucleotides) under uncultured organism. RNAcentral's name for it is "partial 16S ribosomal RNA". It matches the Rfam family "Bacterial small subunit ribosomal RNA", at positions 527 to 897 of the family's 1533-position model. The record is from RNAcentral.